GGACGAGUUUUCCUUGAUUCUGAGGUUGUGAGACAGCGGCUCGUCGAAGUACUAAGUCCCCCGCUCUGAAGGCCUUGCUCUUAACCCAGGAGUUGUAGUAGCGGGCCACUUUCUGCUUGUAGGUAGCCAUCCAAACUUGAGCUGUCUCCCGCUUUUCUUCUAAUAAGUCGAGGUUGGCUUUGAGAUCCUGCGAGUUGCACUGCUCAUCGAAUGCC
Molecule: long non-coding RNA, 215 nt
Filed under: Elaeis guineensis (African oil palm)
Lineage: Eukaryota; Viridiplantae; Streptophyta; Magnoliopsida; Arecales; Arecaceae
Description: long non-coding RNA (EGUI_LNC055040)
Source: RNAcentral